This 887-nucleotide ribosomal RNA is filed under the name uncultured Staphylococcus sp. RNAcentral's name for it is "bacterial SSU rRNA". It matches the Rfam family "Bacterial small subunit ribosomal RNA", at positions 28 to 896 of the family's 1533-position model. The record is from RNAcentral. Lineage: Bacteria; Bacillati; Bacillota; Bacilli; Caryophanales; Staphylococcaceae.
GAUGAACGCUGGCGGCGUGCCUAAUACAUGCAAGUCGAGCGAACGGACGAGAAGCUUGCUUCUCUGAUGUUAGCGGCGGACGGGUGAGUAACACGUGGAUAACCUACCUAUAAGACUGGGAUAACUUCGGGAAACCGUAGCUAAUACCGGAUAAUAUUUUGAACCGCAUGGUUCAAAAGUGAAAGACGGUCUUGCUGUCACUUAUAGAUGGAUCCGCGCUGCAUUAGCUAGUUGGUAAGGUAACGGCUUACCAAGGCAACGAUGCAUAGCCGACCUGAGAGGGUGAUCGGCCACACUGGAACUGAGACACGGUCCAGACUCCUACGGGAGGCAGCAGUAGGGAAUCUUCCGCAAUGGGCGAAAGCCUGACGGAGCAACGCCGCGUGAGUGAUGAAGGUCUUCGGAUCGUAAAACUCUGUUAUUAGGGAAGAACAUAUGUGUAAGUAACUGUGCACAUCUUGACGGUACCUAAUCAGAAAGCCACGGCUAACUACGUGCCAGCAGCCGCGGUAAUACGUAGGUGGCAAGCGUUAUCCGGAAUUAUUGGGCGUAAAGCGCGCGUAGGCGGUUUUUUAAGUCUGAUGUGAAAGCCCACGGCUCAACCGUGGAGGGUCAUUGGAAACUGGAAAACUUGAGUGCAGAAGAGGAAAGUGGAAUUCCAUGUGUAGCGGUGAAAUGCGCAGAGAUAUGGAGGAACACCAGUGGCGAAGGCGACUUUCUGGUCUGUAACUGACGCUGAUGUGCGAAAGCGUGGGGAUCAAACAGGAUUAGAUACCCUGGUAGUCCACGCCGUAAACGAUGAGUGCUAAGUGUUAGGGGGUUUCCGCCCCUUAGUGCUGCAGCUAACGCAUUAAGCACUCCGCCUGGGGAGUACGACCGCAAGGUUG